AAGAAUCGGCACAUAUAUAUUCGUGGAACUAAUUCGCAAGUUAAAUGAGCUGCUGAAGAGAAAGUUUGAGAUUAGAUGAUCGAUACAGCACUGAUACAGGUUAUACGACCUCAGCUUGGUUACAUUUAUAAAGAACCUACCGACAGAUCCAUUUCAGACUCUGAUUGAAGCCACUGCAUCACUUACCAUUCUAGUUCACCACUGCUUCAACAAAGCACAAAGAUGAUCUUCAAAUUCCUAUUGACAACGCUGGCAAUAGUGUUUAUUGCUAUAAUGACCGUGAGAGUGGAAGGCGCUCCUCAGAUUCCAAUAACUCCGAAGCCAAUGAGGCCUUUCUAUGCUCCAAACCCAGUCAUCAUACCUGGACCAAUCACCACACCAAGCAGUAAUCCCAGUAAUCCACCUGCACCUGCACCUGAUCAUACCAAGCAUUGAUCAUCUUACCAGUUAUUUCAACUUAUUCGAAAAACCCUUUUCCAGACCAAUGGGCAGUCUCCUCUGCACUUAUGGAAGAGCUAAUAUUAUUUAUAUCAUCCAACUCAUUCUUAUUUAUUAUUCAUCCGGAGGAGCAUUAAUUAUUCUCGUUAUUUAGUUCCUGAACUGAGCCAUAGGAAUCAAACAUUAAAAUAUCUUAAUAAUUUUUGCUUUUUUCAUUGAUAUUGAAUGUCUCACAUAAUAAAUAUCGAGUGACCUGGCUGGCUCAGGUCUGUUGUCAAAGAUGUCACAUCGCUGUCAUGAACAGAAGUGAACUGUCAUGACAGUUAAGUCAUGUCAGAGGCCCUGAUCAACUUAUGGCUCUAAUCCGCUGAUUUUAGGCAGCUGAGACCGACCGCUUCACGUGUCCAUCCGAAAUAUUGAAAAAAUAUGUUGGCCGGCCGAGGAACAUCAGGCUUACAAAACCAGCGUCUAAAGCAGUGGCCACUCCAUAACGUUACAACAUUACUGUACUGAAAUCGUCCAAACUGAUACGUUCGGUAGAUAUUAUCUCUAAUUCUAGAUAGAAAGAACAAAAUUAAUCAAUUUGAGCAUUCAGAAUUUAUUGAUAAAUACAUCUUUUCAUGAUCCCAUUCUUCAACAGUUAUGGUAAUCGAUUACAAUAUUUUUUACAUAAACUAAAAGUUAUUAUGUAACUAAUUUCUCAACUAGUUAGACACAUUUAUUGGCAGUACUUUGUUUAAAUUGUGCUAUAUUUUAUUAUUGUAUUUUUAUCAUUACCUCUUCACUGUUCUUUCACCUCUUAUGCCCAAAUUGAGAAUUACAAAACGUUUAUCUUGUACUAAAAAGUACAUCUUUUAUAAUUUAAUUUAUUUUUUUGAGUGAUGAAAAUAGAAAAAAAUGACUUAUAUGGGAGAAAUUAGAAGUACAGUAGUACUAUAAGUACCAACAAUAGCAUGUAACAGUUCAUAAUCAUUGUACUGUAUAGCACAUGACUCAAAAUUUCUCGACAAAAAAAGGAAAUUUCAUGAGUUUAAUAUUUUUCACAAACAUUUAACUUCAAACGGUUUAUUGAAUUAAUUUUUGGAUAGAUAAACUAAUCAUUAAUAGAAUAACUAUUAUCAAAAACCAUUUUUAUGCAAAAUUCAACUGCCUGUUGAAUUGAUACAAGUGUAUUUUAGUUUAAUAUGACAAACUGAUAUUCAAAAUGGUAUGCAAUAUUAAUAUUAUAAAAAUCAGAUAAUAGACUUUAUAAUUAAAUAACCUCAAUAUAAAUAAUGGUUCACUGAUGUAUCAACUGUAUAUAAAUUACUAAAAUAUUUAUAAUAAAAUCAAUUAAAAACCAACAAUCCCAAUAUAUCAUUUGUACUAGUCAACAACUCCCGUUUAGUUUAUAGUUUUCGGUAUUUUAUAAUUUUACUUUUAUUACAAAAAAUAUCAAAUUUUUGAGUAUUUUUACACAAAUCCAUUUGUUUUACAAUAUUCACAUUGAACGGAUUUAAUCUAAUGGCACAUUGAUAUCUGUAAAGUGACUGCAAUGAGGACAUUCAUAUCACUAAAAUAGUCAACAGCUAAUAUCCUAGAAGUUAUGUAUUUACAAACACCUAGUCAAUUUGAACACCGGAUUAAACAUCGAGAAUUUGUUAAUGAUUGUUGCUACUGUAAUGAUAAGAACCAUCAUCUUAAAACUAGAGUGAACAUAUAUUUUUGAUAAUGCUUAUAAUACAAAUGUUUCGAAUUGCAUAAAAAUUUGGUAAGCUCAACAACCAAUGACUGUUAUGGAACAAUUGAGUGCAGUUCAAUGCUGGAAAAAGUCACAAAGCAUUUUAUGCUGCUGUGAACAUUUUCACAGCCAAGUCUCACAUUUAUAAAAUGAUUAAUAUGCUUAAAAUAACAUAUAUUUUUAAAAUCGAUAACAUGAUUGACAUUUUCUACUUUGGUUGUGUACGAGGGGGAAUAAGACAAUGUGACUUGACUUAUUCAAGGGCUUACAAAUUACUUCUUAUUUACAAUCAUGUUUUAUGCUACAUAAAUUAAUUGUAGACAUAAAAACUAUUAGUGCCUUAUUUUUAAUAUCAGCCCUUCUCUGAAAGAACUUUUAUAUACAGUCUAGAGUAUUGUUAACUCUCUUUGACAAGUACUUAACAUUGGAAACCAUGGAGUGAAGCAUAACAAACAAUGUUUUCGUUAAACUUUCAACAUAGAAAUUAUUAUAGCACUACGAAACAAAUAAUAAUAGCAUUAUUAUUUCCUCACUACUAAACGCCCAGUUAUGUGGGAGAAUUUGAAUCAUCUUGGUCAUUCACUUGAAAAUUCUCCUAUACUUCAAAUCACAUAGCUAUUUUUAUAACAAGAGAUAAUAAUGUUGAAAUUACAUAUGAACAUAAUCACUCUGAAAUAUUAGUACUGUAUUACAAUAUGUUUCGAUGUAUUAUACUUACUGCAACUCAAUAUAACGACAUAUUUUCAAUAAGUUACAAUGCGUUUUAUGUAUCAAUAAAUAAAUAAAUUUAUUA
This is a long non-coding RNA of Nilaparvata lugens (brown planthopper), 2951 nucleotides long. RefSeq lists it as uncharacterized. The transcript is spliced from 2 exons. The record is from RefSeq and is a predicted model, not a curated record. NCBI's taxonomy places the organism in Eukaryota, Metazoa, Arthropoda, Insecta, Hemiptera, Delphacidae.